This 422-nucleotide ribosomal RNA is filed under the name uncultured prokaryote. RNAcentral describes it as "bacterial SSU rRNA". It matches the Rfam family "Bacterial small subunit ribosomal RNA", at positions 355 to 774 of the family's 1533-position model. The record is from RNAcentral.
UGAGGAAUAUUGGUCAAUGGACGAGAGUCUGAACCAGCCAAGUAGCGUGCAGGAUGACGGCCCUAUGGGUUGUAAACUGCUUUUAUAAGGGAAUAAAGUGAGUCUCGUGAGACUUUUUGCAUGUACCUUAUGAAUAAGGACCGGCUAAUUCCGUGCCAGCAGCCGCGGUAAUACGGAAGGUCCGGGCGUUAUCCGGAUUUAUUGGGUUUAAAGGGAGCGUAGGCCGGAGAUUAAGCGUGUUGUGAAAUGUAGACGCUCAACGUCUGCACUGCAGCGCGAACUGGUUUCCUGGAGUACGCACAAAGUGGGCGGAAUUCGUGGUGUAGCGGUGAAAUGCUUAGAUAUCACGAAGAACUCAGAUUGCGAAGGCAGCUCACUGGAGCGCAACUGACGCUGAAGCUCGAAAGUGCGGGUAUCGAACA